This is a long non-coding RNA of Astatotilapia calliptera (eastern happy), 1630 nucleotides long. NCBI's taxonomy places the organism in Eukaryota, Metazoa, Chordata, Actinopteri, Cichliformes, Cichlidae. The record is from Ensembl.
AAAAAAAAGAAAAUCAGGCAAGAAAACAGGAAACAAAACAGCUUUUUUUGCUUUCUUAUUUUCACAGAACAUCUGAAUAAAACCGGUGAGCCAAACACGAAAGGAAAACGUGCGGUCAGCGUGAAUGACACGUUAUUCGUGGAACACACGAGGGCAACUCCCCCGAACACAAAGCAGAGAUACAAGGUUGUAAUUAAAGUAAAAACAUUUCUAUCUGACACGGCUGAGGCACUGGAAGCUUGGCGUGGAUACGCGUCACAGUCCACCAGACUGUUUGUAUUUAUAUGUGUUUAAGUGUGUCAGCAGCUGUGGCACAAACAGAUUUCUAUUUUUUUUUUUUAAUUACUGGAUGCAACAGCAGGCUACGUCUGUGAUCGGCGUCCUUGUUCUAGGCCAUCAAGAUGGCUAUGAUGGCUGUGACAUCUGUUGCAAUAAUGUGGCUGCAGGAGGAUUUGGGUUUUUUUGUAAUGUGACAGUACUUUUAAUGUAAAGCUGAUUUAUGAAAAGCUGAACUUAAGAACAGGAUAUAGUACAUUUUACAGUAUAGCAGUGCCUCUCAGAGGGACUGGUGGAUCUGUGUAAAGCUGCUGCAGGGGGGAAAAAGUGGUAGUUUUACUGAACAGUUUAAUACUGUUAGCCGCCCCAUCACACAGGCCUAGAGUCAGUGACCCUCAGCAACCGCUUCUUUGGAAAAAAGCCCUCGACCAGUUUGCAGUUGUUAGGUGACACUGAUUGCAAAGAGGUAGAUGGUGGUGCGCUGAAAACCUCCUCGUCAUUAAUUAGGUCCACUAUUGUUUGGUGAGUAAUUGCAAGUUUGUGUCCUCAAUGCAAACUAUGGGCAACCGUGGGAAUCUGCUAGCAACCAAAGCAACUUUGUGACCAAUUUCACCUGGCAACCACCAGCAACCACUCGUCAGCUGGUCAGUGAAGGCGCAUUUUUCCCUAGCGACAGGAAGUUGCCAGAGAGUUACCAAUCAGUCUUUAAGCAUGCACGAAUUAGGUGAUUGGCUGAAUAUUUGAUAGAAAUUAAACCAACUUUUUUUUUUGUUUUCCAAUCUUCUGAAGUCGAGCAUGACGGAAGAGGUUUGGGAACAAGACCAGAACAGUUAGCGUCAGAGUGGAGAAACAUGGUAUGAGCACUUGAAAACAACUCAAAGGCCUUCAAAAACAGCACCUGCUACAAGUACAGGCUGUUUUUUUUUUUUUUUUUAAAGAAACACUUGUCAUUCAAAAUGAUAGAUUACAAUCGAUUAUUAAACUCCAAAUAAAACUGAUUCAGUCAGAUAAAUUGUCAAGCACAGAAGUUGCAAUUGCAAACGGACACAGAAACAAAUGUAAGUUGCUACAUGGAGUUUAACUGUUUCAGGUUGCUUUGCUGCCAUUUGUGACCUCAGUGAAACGUAACAUGAUGCAGUUUGUGUGUCCCUGCUCAGCAGUCUGGUUGUUUAUCACUGUCUUUGGGUAAAGUUUUGAUCUUUCUCUUUGAACAAAGUCAUCAUAGUCAUAGAGAGCAGUCUGAAGUUAGGCCCUUCGAAACUUGUUGAUCAUCAGUUUGUAGUUCCAAAAAUACAAAGGCAUCAGUGCCUGUCAUUCCUAAAAAUCUUCUGAGAUAUGUUGCUUCUUCAGUAAG